UACGUAGGGUGCGAGCGUUGUCCGGAAUUAUGGGGCGUAAAGAGCUUGUAGGCGGUUUGUCGCGUCUGCCGUGAAAAUCCGGGGCUCAACCCCGGACUUGCGGUGGGUACGGGCAGACUAGAGUGUGGUAGGGGAGACUGGAAUUCCUGGUGUAGCGGUGAAAUGCGCAGAUAUCAGGAGGAACACCGAUGGCGAAGGCAGGUCUCUGGGCCACUACUGACGCUGAGGAGCGAAAGCCAGGGGAGCAAACGGG
RNAcentral lists this ribosomal RNA (253 nucleotides) under uncultured bacterium. RNAcentral's name for it is "partial 16S ribosomal RNA". It matches the Rfam family "Bacterial small subunit ribosomal RNA", at positions 524 to 776 of the family's 1533-position model. The record is from RNAcentral.